AUCCAAUGUCUUGUUAGCCAGAGUAACGGCUGUCGUCAGGUCCUCAGGGUCUCGAGGUCGGUUUCUUCCUAACGCCGCCAACCCCAAGCUAAGGUAGACAUGAUAGCCAAGGCAGCUGAUUGUCCCAAGAAAUAAGUAUGAGCACAGAGGAAAAUCAUGAAACAUCUGAGGACCAUGAGAACUACUAAAACGUUACAUAGAACUAGCUAUACCAGAGAAAGUCAAGUGAAUGGAUCAGACAAUAAGAAUUGAAAAUAAGCUUAAUAGAGCUUCAGAGAAAGAAGGGAGAAUAUUGGAAACACAAAGCACAAACAAGCAUUUGUGAAUUGGAUGUUGACAAAUAUUAAUGAAAUAACUCAAUGAAUGGGUUGAAUAUAGCUGGACAGUUCACUCAUGAACUGGAAGAUUAGAGCAAGGAAGGAACUAAGAAAUGGAAAGCAUGAAAGGAGAGUUAAGAAAUGUGGAAGGUAGAAGCAUAAAUAUUUUUCUAAUAGAAAUUCCAGAGGGGGAAAAAAAGAACAUGUGAAAGAAUUAUUGCUGAGAAUUUCCCAGAAUUGAAGACAUACUUUAGAAUGAAAAAGGCCAACUCUAACUUUGGGAUUUCUAGCUUCGGAGGAAUGAAAAUUUAGAAUGACCAAGGGGA
RNAcentral lists this non-coding RNA (643 nucleotides) under Pongo abelii (Sumatran orangutan). The record is from RNAcentral. Lineage: Eukaryota; Metazoa; Chordata; Mammalia; Primates; Hominidae.